Molecule: ribosomal RNA, 342 nt
Filed under: Streptomyces sp. 1034
Lineage: Bacteria; Bacillati; Actinomycetota; Actinomycetes; Kitasatosporales; Streptomycetaceae
Description: bacterial SSU rRNA
Rfam family: Bacterial small subunit ribosomal RNA
Source: RNAcentral
GGCGUGCCUAACACAUGCAAGUCGAACGAUGAACCACUUCGGUGGGGAUUAGUGGCGAACGGGUGAGUAACACGUGGGCAAUCUGCCCUUCACUCUGGGACAAGCCCUGGAAACGGGGUCUAAUACCGGAUACAACACUCUCGGGCAUCCGAUGAGUGUGGAAAGCUCCGGCGGUGAAGGAUGANCCCGCGGCCUAUCAGCUUGUUGGUGAGGUAACGGCUCACCAAGCCGACGACGGGUAGCCGGCCUGAGAGGGCGACCGGCCACNCUGGGACUGAGACACGGCCCAGACUCCUACGGGAGGCAGCAGUGGGGAAUAUUGCACAAUGGGCGAAAGCCUGA